UACGUAGGGUGCAAGCGUUGUCCGGAAUUAUUGGGCGUAAAGAGCUCGUAGGCGGUCUGUCGCGUCGGCUGUGAAAACUCGGGGCUCAACCCCGAGCCUGCAGUCGAUACGGGCAGACUAGAGUGCGGUAGGGGAGACUGGAAUUCCUGGUGUAGCGGUGAAAUGCGCAGAUAUCUGGAGGAACACCGGUGGCGAAGGCGGCAUCCUGGACCAAUUCUGACGCUGAGGAGCGAAAGCCAGGGGAGCAAACGGG
RNAcentral lists this ribosomal RNA (253 nucleotides) under uncultured bacterium. Its description in RNAcentral is "partial 16S ribosomal RNA". It matches the Rfam family "Bacterial small subunit ribosomal RNA", at positions 524 to 776 of the family's 1533-position model. The record is from RNAcentral.